UCUGAUUAGCUAGUUGGUAGGGUAAAAGCCUACCAAGGCAUCGAUCAGUAACUGGUCUGAGAGGAUGACCAGUCACACUGGGACUGAGACACGGCCCAGACUCCUACGGGAGGCAGCAGUGGGGAAUUUUCCGCAAUGGGCGAAAGCCUGACGGAGCAAUACCGCGUGAGGGAGGAAGGCUCUUGGGUUGUAAACCUCUUUUCUCAGGGAAGAAGAUCUGACGGUACCUGAGGAAUCAGCAUCGGCUAACUCCGUGCCAGCAGCCGCGGUAAUACGGAGGAUGCAAGCGUUAUCCGGAAUGAUUGGGCGUAAAGCGUCCGCAGGUGGCUGCUUCAAGUCUGCUGUCAAAGCUCAGGGCUUAACCCUGAAUCGGCGGUGGAAACUGAACAGCUAGAGUGCGGUAGGGGCAGAGGGAAUUCCCAGUGUAGCGGUGAAAUGCGUAGAGAUUGGGAAGAACACCGGUGGCGAAAGCGCUCUGCUGGACCGCAACUGACACUCAUGGACGAAAGCUAGGGGAGCGAAUGGGAUUAGAUACCCCAGUAGUCCUAGCCGU
This 553-nucleotide ribosomal RNA is filed under the name uncultured cyanobacterium. RNAcentral describes it as "bacterial SSU rRNA". It matches the Rfam family "Bacterial small subunit ribosomal RNA", at positions 236 to 803 of the family's 1533-position model. Lineage: Bacteria; Bacillati; Cyanobacteriota. The record is from RNAcentral.